GAUGAACGCUGGCGGCGUGCCUAAUACAUGCAAGUCGAGCGAACAGACGAGGAGCUUGCUCCUCUGACGUUAGCGGCGGACGGGUGAGUAACACGUGGAUAACCUACCUAUAAGACUGGGAUAACUUCGGGAAACCGGAGCUAAUACCGGAUAAUAUAUUGAACCGCAUGGUUCAAUAGUGAAAGACGGUUUUGCUGUUACUUAUAGAUGGAUCCGCGCCGCAUUAGCUAGUUGGUAAGGUAACGGCUUACCAAGGCAACGAUGCGUAGCCGACCUGAGCGGGUGAUCGGCCACACUGGAACUGAGACACGGUCCAGACUCCUACGGGAGGCAGCAGUAGGGAAUCUUCCGCAAUGGGCGAAAGCCUGACGGAGCAACGCCGCGUGAGUGAUGAAGGUCUUCGGAUCGUAAAACUCUGUUAUUAGGGAAGAACAAAUGUGUAAGUAACUAUGCACGUCUUGACGGUACCUAAUCAGAAAGCCACGGCUAACUACGUG
RNAcentral lists this ribosomal RNA (497 nucleotides) under uncultured bacterium. RNAcentral describes it as "partial 16S ribosomal RNA". It matches the Rfam family "Bacterial small subunit ribosomal RNA", at positions 28 to 507 of the family's 1533-position model. The record is from RNAcentral.